GAUAGCCAUGCAUGUCUCAGUACAAGCCAAAUUAAGGUGAAACCGCGAAAGGCUCAUUAAAUCAGUUAUGGUUCCUUAGAUCGUACCCACACUUACUUGGAUAACUGUGGUAAUUCUAGAGCUAAUACAUGCAAACAGAGCUCCGACCGGAGACGGAAGGAGCGCUUUUAUUAGAUCAAAACCAAUCGGUGGCGGGUCCGCUCGUCAUCGUACAACUUGGUGACUCUGAAUAACUUUACGCUGAUCGCACGGUCUCGCACCGGCGACGCAUCUUUCAAAUGUCUGCCUUAUCAACUGUCGAUGGUAGGUUCUGCGCCUACCAUGGUUGUAACGGGUAACGGGGAAUCAGGGUUCGAUUCCGGAGAGGGAGCCUGAGAAACGGCUACCACAUCCAAGGAAGGCAGCAGGCGCGCAAAUUACCCACUCCCGGCACGGGGAGGUAGUGACGAAAAAUAACGAUACGGGACUCAUCCGAGGCCCCGUAAUCGGAAUGAGUACACUCUAAACCCUUUAACGAGGAUCAAUUGGAGGGCAAGUCUGGUGCCAGCAGCCGCGGUAAUUCCAGCUCCAAUAGCGUAUAUUAAAGUUGUUGCGGUUAAAAAGCUCGUAGUCGAAUCUGUGUCCCGCGCCGCCGGUUCAUCGUCCGCGGUGUUAACUGGCGUGUCGCGGGACGUCCUGCCGGUGGGCUUAGCUCGCAAGGGCGGCCCAACUCAAUCCCGCCGCGGUGCUCUUCACUGAGUGUCGAGGUGGGCCGGCACGUUUACUUUGAACAAAUUAGAGUGCUUAAGCAGGCUAAAACUUCGCCUGAAUACUGUGUGCAUGGAAUAAUGGAAUAGGACCUCGGUUCUAUUUUGUUGGUUUUCGGAACCCCGAGGUAAUGAUUAAUAGGAACGGAUGGGGGCAUUCGUAUUGCGACGUUAGAGGUGAAAUUCUUGGAUCGUCGCAAGACGGACAGAAGCGAAAGCAUUUGCCAAAAACGCUUUCAUUGAUCAAGAACGAAGUUAGAGGUU
RNAcentral lists this ribosomal RNA (1010 nucleotides) under Prionus insularis. RNAcentral describes it as "SSU rRNA". It matches the Rfam family "Eukaryotic small subunit ribosomal RNA", at positions 42 to 998 of the family's 1831-position model. The record is from RNAcentral. Lineage: Eukaryota; Metazoa; Arthropoda; Insecta; Coleoptera; Cerambycidae.